AGGUAAUGAGAGGCCCUGAGAUCCCAGAGGUACCAUUCAAGAAGCCUGGGAUGUGUUGAGGACUCUGCUUCCUGCAGACACCUGAGUUUCUCUCCUCUGGUUUUAUGGUAAAACGGAGAGACAGAACCAGAGGGCAACCCACCAGGAAAGCCACUGAGCUGUGUGCACCAAGCCCAUCACUCAAGCUUGGCAUUUUCACAGCAACUAGCUCCACGACAAAAUAAGCCUCCUUGAAAUUUCCAAACAGAAAGCUCUGGAGAUGUCUGGCAAGCCCUGGGCAUAACUUUCUGCUGCUGCAGACCUGGAAUCUACAGAAGCAACCUUGUGAGUCAGUUCCUCCAGCCCUAGCCUGGCACUUCUUUUGGUCACCCUCCCCCUCCUCCCCACAAACCCACAUGCCUGCUUCAAUACACUACGCUCCUAAUCCUGUUUGAAGUGUACAAGCAACACACUUGAAGUACACUAGUUCAAUGUCAUUUGAGGAACUCUCAGUAUAAACUCCACACAGAAAAACAAUGAUGAGGCUAUUCCCACAGUAUUGUAUGAUUUAGAAAACACUUUCAUAGGCAUUAGCUCCCUAUUCAGACAUCUAGUCUUUGCCUCCGGAGAAGGCAAUGGCACCCCACUCCAGCACUCUUACCUGGCAAAUCCCAUGGAUGGAGGAGCCUGGUAGGCUCCAGUCCAUGGGGUUGCUAAGAGUUGGACACGACUGAGCGACU
This 719-nucleotide long non-coding RNA is filed under the name Bos mutus (wild yak). RNAcentral describes it as "lncRNA (ENSBMUG00000004188.1)". The record is from RNAcentral. Lineage: Eukaryota; Metazoa; Chordata; Mammalia; Artiodactyla; Bovidae.